Prosopis cineraria is the source of this 3569-nucleotide long non-coding RNA. RefSeq lists it as uncharacterized. The record is from RefSeq and is a predicted model, not a curated record. The transcript has 5 exons. Lineage: Eukaryota; Viridiplantae; Streptophyta; Magnoliopsida; Fabales; Fabaceae.
UGGAUUUUUUUUUCUAGAACUAUCGCGAGAGAGCGUGGCAGAGAGGAGCUGAACCAGAAAACACAUGCCAUCUCCGUCUCUUUCUUCCUCCUUCGUCUUCAACUUAGCCGCUGCGCGUGCGAACGUGUCGUUGCUGUCCUAGUUCAUAGCUUCUUCCUUUUCCUCUGUUUCUCACUGUCGGACCCUUCUUUUUCCUUCUCCAUUCUGUCUGACGGAGGGUGGCAAGCACGUGAAGAUCCGAGCUGUUGUUGGAAGUCCGAGUAUGUUUCUUCCACCCCUGCUCGCAGCAUCAUCCCCUUCUUCCUUCCACUGUCUCUCGCUGCAGAAUUUCUGCUUCUCUUGUUCGUUUGUGCUGCUGUAAAUUCUCUCCUCCCCUGUUCUGCGAUUCCACGUGUUGGUCUGGGUGUGCACGUUGGAGUUUUGAUCUUCCCCUUCAUUCUUUGUUCUUCUGCAGCAGUGUUGAUCAUUUGCAGCUUAGGAGUGGAGAAAAUAAAGAUGCAUUUUCAAGUUGAAAUUAAAGGUUAAGGAGUUCAUUUGAGGAUUAAAGAGCAAUCAUUGUGGCAAAAGGGACCAGUUAGUAGUAAGUUAUAUAUUCGGAAACUUUACAGAUUCAUUAGUUGAUGCUGAACCUCCUACCAAUCAUUGAGAGGCUUACUACUAUGCUGGGUGACUACUUAUUUUUUUUUUAAAAAAAAGUGCCUUUUCUUUUGAUGUAAAUAUUCAAUUAUAUGUUCUAUUUUGAGAUUAUAUUUUAAGUGCUCCACAUUAACCAUAGGUAGGAUGCUGAUCUGUAAAUUUAUAUCGAUUGUCUGUUGUGGAGGGGCAGUGCUCCAUACUAUUGAUUUGCAUAUAAAUGGUUGUUGUAGAAAUUUCAGGAGGUCUCAUUUAUAGAGAGAGUUUUGCUAAAAUUUUUACAAAAAUUUUAGGAACCUUUUGUUUAUAUGGGAAAUGCUAUUACAAUUCCCAACCUUAUUUUAAAUGAAUUAAGAUUUUAAAUUAAAAUUUUCUUGAUUAAGGCUUAAGGGAUAUGUGCUUGUGUAUAUAUCCUGUGCCGGUUACAUCUAAUUUUGGGACGUGACACCUUCCCUCCUAUUGACCAGUCUGUGUUGGCACAGCGUGCUACUAGAUUUCACAAAUAGGAAAUUAAAGCUGUGUUUGAAAUGGGCCUCUCAAAUCUCUUGCGCCUGAUGGUUUUAAUGCUCUUUUCUUUCAAAAUCAGUGGGAUAGAAUUGGUAGCUCUAUUGUGGAUAUUGUUCAAUUUAUUUGUGAUCAUCCGAGCACUAUUAAAGACAUUAAUAGUACUCUUAUUGUCCUCAUUCUGAAGAAGAAUCCUCUAGAGUCUCUUAGGGAUUUGAGGCAGACAAGUUUGUGCAAUGUGAUUUUUAAGACUAUAACCCAGUUGAUUUCGAAGCAGAUACUUUUCUCCCUCAGAUAAUGUCCCCGAAUCAGUGCAACUUUGUUCUAGGAGGUUGUUCACUCUAUGAAAUCCAUGAAAUGUAAAAAAAAGGUUCAUGAAAAUUAUGAUUGAUUUGGAAAAAGCAUAUGACAAGAUUAACUGGAAAUUUGUGGGCAAAUGUGUUCAAGAAUUACAACUUCCUCAAUCUAUGAUUGAGCUUAUUUAUGAAGCCAUCUCUACUGCUAAUAAGCAUAUACUUUGAAACGAGGUUAAAGCUGACUCCUUUAGGCCCUCAUGUGAGAUUCGUGAGGGCGACCCUAUGUCUCCAUAUCUCUUUGUAAUUUGCAUGGAGAAGUUAGCACACAUUAUACAAUCGAAGAUGAAUUCAGGUGAUUAGAAGCCAAUUCAUCUCACUAAGACGGGGCCUCCUAUUUCUCAUCUCUUUUUUGUAGAGGAUAUUAUAUCAUUUGCUAAUGUGAGUUUUCAACAAGUCGAGAUGAUUAGAUCUUUCCUUGAGAUGUUUUGUGAAGCUUCUGUGCUCAAGGUCAUAAUACUCUAGUGACUUCUGUGACUUCAGCUAUUCUAGUUCAUGUCAUGCAGACUUCUCUACUUCCUAUUAGUGCUUGUGAUCCCAUCAAUAAGUGUAACCAUGAUUUUUCAUGGUAUAGCUCUAAUGGAGUUAGGAAAACACACUUGGUGGCUUUGGAUGAGGGAUGUCAACUUAAGAAGCAAGGGGCCUUAGUUUAAGACAUGUAAAGAAUCAAAAUUCUGCCCUGCUCAUGAAGCUUGGUUGGGGUUUGUGUAAGAAUUGGGAUAACUUUUGGGUUAAAGUGGUGAGGAAAAAAUACCAUUGUGGAGAGGAUCUAAUUCCUAAGAUCAAUGCCAAACGUCCUAAUGUUUGGGCAGGGAUAAAAGCCAAUUAGGAGAAGGCAGAAGCAAGUCUGGAACGCAACCAUGAUAAUUUGAUGAUUCAUUGGCGUGGUGAAAAGAAUGGCCUCUUUUCUGUUAAGUCUGCAAAUAACUUGAUUAAAAACAACUCACAGUGACCAGAUCCAAGAUGGAAUAAAAUUUGGAAAAUGCAAGUUCCUCAACAUUGCCUAUGUUUUUUGUGGCUAUCAUAGAGAGGAAGGUUGCUUACUAACUUUCAUAAAAAAAAAAAAAAAAGCACGGUACGUGUGCUAAUGACAAGUGUCCAAUAUGCAAUGAGGGGUUGGAAGAUGUUAUCCACAUGCUUACAGAUUGUACUCAAAUGAAACUGAUGUGGCAAAAGCUUGUUUCACCAUCGGCUUGGUCUUGGUUCAUGACUUCAAGUUUAUGGGACUAGUUCCUAAUUAAUAUCUCAAGGAGAGAGAGUGGUUCUAAUGGGAGCUAGGGGCGCUAUUCUCGGUGAUAUGCUGGGGUCUUUGGCAUAGCAGGAAUAACUUUGUUUCUAAGGGGAAGUUAAUCCGGCAUGAUGUCAUGGCUCGUGCACUUGUGAUGAUUGAAACCAUUAGUGAUAUGAAAAAAACAAUUAUCUACCUUUGCACCUAGCUCUAAUGCAGUAGUAGGGAGGAUGACAAGAUGGACGGCACUAAAUGAGGGGUGGUUCAAGCUAUACGUUAAUGGGACUUUAUCUACAUCAAGCCAUGCUAUGGCUUGUGGUGGUUUGACCCGUGAUGACAGGGGGGUCAAUUUCGAAUUGGUUUUCUUUGUCGUUUGAAGGAAGGUGAUUGUUUAACUGCUAAAUUAUGGGCUUGCUUAGUUGGACUUAAAAUAGCUUGGGACACUGGGUUGUGAAGAAUCAUGCUUGAAUCGAAUUCUAUGGACACAUUAGAGCUUCUUCUUCAUGUUCCUAAUCUUGAGCAUCAUGACUACAAUAUUUUGUUAGAGAUUCAAAGUUUACGUGAACGGGAUUGGGAAAUUCAAGUGCACUAUGUUCGGCGUGAGGGAAAUACUGUUGCUGAUUUCUUAGCAAAGUAAGGUCUGGCUACUCCCCUUGGCUUCCACGUGAUGGUGUAUCCAUUUAAGGAACUUUGAAGGCUAAUUGAUUUGGAUUGCCCUAAUAGGGCUCAUCAGGUUUUGGUUAGGUAACUGUGUUACCUCUUUAUUUAUCCCAAAAAAAAAAGAACAUAAUGUUUGUCUGUUUGAUAUGUUAUUAAAUUCUCUAUAAAGUAAUCGAAUUGUUUGUUUCUCA